This 532-nucleotide long non-coding RNA is filed under the name Selaginella moellendorffii. RNAcentral's name for it is "long non-coding RNA (SMOE_LNC001322)". Lineage: Eukaryota; Viridiplantae; Streptophyta; Lycopodiopsida; Selaginellales; Selaginellaceae. The record is from RNAcentral.
ACCAUUAUUAGUUUUGUAUUCUAAUGAAUAAAUAUUUUAUAAACAAACCUAAUUAUAACGGGUUGCAUAAUUCUGCCUCUUGCUCACUUGAACUCGAGCAAGUUUUUGGUUUGGGAAUGCAUGGACUGUGAACAACUCCAUGCUGCCUUCCUUUCCCAAGAGAAGCACAACCAACCUCUUUGGGAAAUCUAGAAUGGGAUUUUGUAGAGACUGGCACUCAAGAACAAGAGGUCUAGCCUCUUCAACCUUGGUUUUUGAGGGCGUUCAACCAGGCAUCCACUUGUGAGGAGCUCAGAGAGCCCUCAGCUUGAUUAUUUGAAAUUGCGAUAACGCUGACACACUCCCGUGGGAUCGACAUUGACUGCAAGCUCUGUAAUUUGAUCAACACAAGAAUAUAACCUCCUCUACGUACUUCAGAUAGAGAUGAGAGAUCGCUACGCCAGCAAAUGAGGUAAGACGUUUGCGACGCUCGUAGAAAAAGUCACGUUGUAAAUUGAUCGCAAACAUUAGAACACGCCACAAGCGCGUCCAG